AUCACUUCCUGGGCCUUUUGGCUAAGGUCAAAUACAGUAUCUGUUCUUAUUACGUUAAUAUCAAAUAGAUCUUCAGUCCAGAGACUAUUAUAAUAAAUAGAUUUGAGCGGGGGGGCAGGGUGAUGUAACAGGAGCUUUCUCUGUCCACUCCACAAAUUGACAAGAAAUUGCUGGGGAUACUUCUUGGAAUAGUGAAUUUUUC
Molecule: small nuclear RNA, 202 nt
Organism: Sarcophilus harrisii (Tasmanian devil)
Lineage: Eukaryota; Metazoa; Chordata; Mammalia; Dasyuromorphia; Dasyuridae
Gene: U2
Rfam family: U2 spliceosomal RNA
About the family: U2 is a small nuclear RNA (snRNA) component of the spliceosome (involved in pre-mRNA splicing).
Source: Ensembl